UACGUAGGGGGCAAGCGUUGUCCGGAAUUACUGGGCGUAAAGCGCACGUAGGCGGACUACUAAGUCAGGGGUGAAAUCCCGGGGCUCAACCCCGGAACUGCCUUUGAUACUGAGAGUCUCGAGUCCGGAAGAGGUGAGUGGAAUUCCGAGUGUAGAGGUGAAAUUCGUAGAUAUUCGGAGGAACACCAGUGGCGAAGGCGGCUCACUGGUCCGGUACUGACGCUGAGGUGCGAAAGCGUGGGGAGCAAACAGG
RNAcentral lists this ribosomal RNA (253 nucleotides) under uncultured bacterium. RNAcentral's name for it is "partial 16S ribosomal RNA". It matches the Rfam family "Bacterial small subunit ribosomal RNA", at positions 524 to 776 of the family's 1533-position model. The record is from RNAcentral.